RNAcentral lists this ribosomal RNA (267 nucleotides) under Candidatus Thalassarchaeaceae archaeon. Its description in RNAcentral is "partial 23S ribosomal RNA". It matches the Rfam family "Archaeal large subunit ribosomal RNA", at positions 2759 to 2987 of the family's 2987-position model. Lineage: Archaea; Methanobacteriati; Thermoplasmatota; Candidatus Poseidoniia; Candidatus Poseidoniales; Candidatus Thalassarchaeaceae. The record is from RNAcentral.
GGAACAGGGCAGCGUAGCCUCUGGCGUACCGGUUGUCUGAUAAGGCAGUUGCCGGGCAGCUAAGCUAUUGAGGAUAAGAGCUGAAAGCAUCUAAGCUCGAAGCCUCUCCUGAGAAUAGACCGCCUUCCACAUUUCUACUUCUUUCGGGAAGUAGGUGUGGACAAGAGCUGGGAAAGAAGAUCCCGUUGAUGGGGCAGAGGUGUAAUCUGAAAGGCUUCGGCCGAUCAGUUCAGCCUGCUGCUCCCAAUCGCUCAAGGUGUCAGAAAU